Molecule: ribosomal RNA, 253 nt
Filed under: uncultured bacterium
Lineage: Bacteria
Description: partial 16S ribosomal RNA
Rfam family: Bacterial small subunit ribosomal RNA
Source: RNAcentral
UACAGAGGAUGCAAGCGUUAUCCGGAAUGAUUGGGCGUAAAGCGUCUGUAGGUGGCUUUGUAAGUCCGCCGUCAAAUCCCAGGGCUCAACUCUGGACAGGCGGUGGAAACUACCAAGCUGGAGGACGGUAGGGGCAGAGGGAAUUUCCGGUGGAGCGGUGAAAUGCGUAGAGAUCGGAAAGAACACCAACGGCGAAAGCACUCUGCUGGGCGGACACUGACACUGAGAGACGAAAGCUAGGGGAGCGAAUGGG